CUACGGGUCGCAGCAGCUGAGGAUCUUUUACAAUGCACGAAAGUGUGAUAAAGCGAGCCAGAGUGUUGUUCUUAGAACAACUUUUGUCUGAUGCAAAAAGUCAGACGAAUAAGGACUGGGUAAGACCGGUGCCAGCCGCCGCGGUAAUACCGGCGGUCCAAGUUGCAUCCAUUUUUAUUGGGUCUAAAACAUCCGUAGCUUUCUUUGUAAGUUUCUUGUGAAAUCUUAUGUCUCAAACAUGAGGCUUGCAAGAAAUACUGCAUAGCUAGAGACCGGAAGACGUAAGGAGUAUGAUUGAGGUAGCGGUAAAAUGUGUUAAUCUUAAUCAGACUAACAACGGCGAAGGCACCUUACGAGUACGGAUCUGACAGUGAGGGAUGAAGGCUAGGGGCGCAAAACGGAUUAGAUACCCUGGUAGUC
RNAcentral lists this ribosomal RNA (420 nucleotides) under uncultured archaeon. Its description in RNAcentral is "partial 16S ribosomal RNA". It matches the Rfam family "Archaeal small subunit ribosomal RNA", at positions 323 to 746 of the family's 1478-position model. The record is from RNAcentral.